This 253-nucleotide ribosomal RNA is filed under the name uncultured bacterium. RNAcentral's name for it is "partial 16S ribosomal RNA". It matches the Rfam family "Bacterial small subunit ribosomal RNA", at positions 524 to 776 of the family's 1533-position model. The record is from RNAcentral.
UACGAAGGGUGCAAACGUUGCUCGGAAUCAUUGGGCGUAAAGCGCACGUAGGCGGCUUGUUAAGUCGGGUGUGAAAUCCCUGGGCUCAACCCAGGAAGUGCACUCGAAACUGGCGAGCUUGAGUAUGGAAGAGGGUCGCGGAAUUCCCGGUGUAGAGGUGAAAUUCGUAGAUAUCGGGAGGAACACCAGUGGCGAAGGCGGCGACCUGGGCCAAUACUGACGCUGAGGUGCGAAAGCGUGGGGAGCAAACAGG